Molecule: ribosomal RNA, 460 nt
Filed under: uncultured bacterium
Lineage: Bacteria
Description: partial 16S ribosomal RNA
Rfam family: Bacterial small subunit ribosomal RNA
Source: RNAcentral
CCUACGGGAGGCAGCAGUGAGGAAUAUUGGUCAAUGGGCGGAAGCCUGAACCAGCCAAGUAGCGUGCAGGAUGACGGCCCUACGGGUUGUCAACUGCUUUUAUACGGGAAUAACGCGCCUUACGUGUAGGGCUUUGCAUGUACCGUAUGAAUAAGGACCGGCUAAUUCCGUGCCAGCAGCCGCGGUAAUACGGAAGGUCCGGGCGUUAUCCGGAUUUAUCGGGGUUAAAGGGAGCGUAGGCGGCAUGUCAAGCGUGCUGUGAAAUGGCCGGGCUCAACCCGUGCCUUGCCGCGCGAACUGGCGUGCUUGAGUCCGCGGAAAGCAGGCGGAAUUCGUCGUGUAGCGGUGAAAUGCUUAGAUAUGACGAAGAACCCCGAUUGCGAAGGCAGCUUGCUGCAGCGGAACUGACGCUGAUGCUCGAAAGCGCGGGUAUCGAACAGGAUUAGAUACCCCAGUAGUC